This 394-nucleotide ribosomal RNA is filed under the name uncultured bacterium. Its description in RNAcentral is "partial 16S ribosomal RNA". It matches the Rfam family "Bacterial small subunit ribosomal RNA", at positions 523 to 918 of the family's 1533-position model. The record is from RNAcentral.
AUACGUAGGGGACGAGCGUUGUCCGGAAUUACUGGGCGUAAAGGGCGCGCAGGCGGAUAUUUAAGUCAGCUGUAAAAGGCAUGAGCUCAACUCAUGUAUGCGGUUGAAACUGGGUAUCUAGAGUGCUGGAGAGGUAGGCGGAAUUCCCGGUGUAGCGGUGAAAUGCGUAGAUAUCGGGAAGAACACCAGUGGCGAAGGCGGCUUACAGGCCAGCAGCAGACGCUGAGGCGCGAAAGCCAGGGGAGCGAACGGUAUUAGAUACCCCGGUAGACCUGGCCGUAAACGAUGAAUGCUAGGUGUGGGUGUCGAGAGGCAGCCGUGCCGGAGUUAACGCGAUAAACAUUCCGCCUGGGGAGUACGAUCGCAAGAUUGAAACUCAAAGGAAUUGACGGUG